RNAcentral lists this ribosomal RNA (437 nucleotides) under uncultured bacterium. RNAcentral describes it as "partial 16S ribosomal RNA". It matches the Rfam family "Bacterial small subunit ribosomal RNA", at positions 28 to 507 of the family's 1533-position model. The record is from RNAcentral.
GAUGAACGCUGGCGGCAUGCCUAAUACAUGCAAGUCGGACGGGUAGCGGUGUUUCCAGUGGCGUACGGGUGAGUAACGCGUAAGAACCUGCCCUUGGGAGGGGAACAACAACUGGAAACGGUUGCUAAUACCCCGUAGGCUGAGGAGCAAAAGGAGGAAUCCGCCCGAGGAGGGGCUUGCGUCUGAUUAGCUAGUUGGUGAGGUAAUAGCUUACCAAGGCGAUGAUCAGUAGCUGGUCCGAGAGGAUGAUCAGCCACACUGGGACUGAGGCACGGGCCAGACUCCUACGGGAAGCAGCGGUAGGGAAAUGUCCGCAAUGGGCGAGAGCGUGACGGAGCAAUGGCUCGUGGAGGUAGAAUGCCCACGGGUCAUGGACUUCUUUACUCGGAGAAGAAACAAUGACGGUAUCUUAGGAAUAAGCAUCGGCUAACUCUGUG